RNAcentral lists this long non-coding RNA (284 nucleotides) under Homo sapiens (human). Its description in RNAcentral is "HSALNT0033327". Lineage: Eukaryota; Metazoa; Chordata; Mammalia; Primates; Hominidae. The record is from RNAcentral.
AGGUAAUGUAAUCCAGGGAAGUGGAAAAGAAGAAAUCUGCAAAGAUAAAUCCCAGCUAAACACAACCCAGCAAGGAAGAAGGCAAUUAAUUUCAUCAGGAAGUUCAGAAAAUACAUCAGCAGAACAAGACACAGGAGAAGAGUGCAAAAAUACUGAUCAGGAAGAGUCUACCAUUUCAUCCAAGUCAAGGAAAAAGAAGAACUGAUUGAAGAGUGGCAACCAGAACCUCUUGUUCCUCCUGUCCCAAAAGACCAUCCUGCUCUCAACUACAACAUCGUUUCAGG